RNAcentral lists this ribosomal RNA (393 nucleotides) under uncultured bacterium. Its description in RNAcentral is "partial 16S ribosomal RNA". It matches the Rfam family "Bacterial small subunit ribosomal RNA", at positions 523 to 918 of the family's 1533-position model. The record is from RNAcentral.
AUACGGAGGAUCCGAGCGUUAUCCGGAUUUAUUGGGUUUAAAGGGAGCGUAGGUGGAUAGUUAAGUCAGUUGUGAAAGUUUGCGGCUCAACCGUAAAAUUGCAGUUGAUACUGGCUGUCUUGAGUACAGUAGAGGUGGGCGGAAUUCGUGGUGUAGCGGUGAAAUGCUUAGAUAUCACGAAGAACUCCGAUUGCGAAGGCAGCUCACUGGACUGCAACUGACACUGAUGCUCGAAAGUGUGGGUAUCAAACAGGAUUAGAUACCCUGGUAGUCCACACAGUAAACGAUGAAUACUCGCUGUUUGCGAUAUACAGUAAGCGGCCAAGCGAAAGCAUUAAGUAUUCCACCUGGGGAGUACGCCGGCAACGGUGAAACUCAAAUGAAUUGGCGGGG